GUCGUUCACGAUGUACCCUAUGGCCACCAUGCGGCCACCAUGUGCCUGCACCCAGUAGGCUCCGCGCCUCCUCUCCCUGCCCAAGCUCCUCCUCCCUUGACUCCCCUUUGUGGAGACAUUUUUUUGACACAAUUUCUGGUCCGACGAGUCCUAACUGGCAGCCUGACUCCGACGAGCCCGUCUACUGGUCGAAGGAAAAAUCAGAGAAUAAAAUUGAUUGGCAUCUGUGUGUCGAGGUUAGCAUGUGCUUGGCCAUGGCAGCGACAACACGGCCGACGGCAGCUGCUGGAAUGUGUGCCUCAUUGCUUUUUGAGUCACUAGCAACUAUUCUUCCAUAAGUAGUUGUGCUCAAAAUAAUGUCGCUGAAGAUGGUGGCAGCAACAACAGCAGCACCAGGAGGAUGUUGGAUGCCAUGCGUGUUCAGAGGAAACAACAAUUCAGAAAUUGGUGAUGAUCCAGCCUCGUCAAGCUAGCUAGCUAGUGUUGUUAAUUUGUUAGAGAUGGAGCUAAAUACUAGCAUAUGCAUGUCUGAUCUAGACUGAUGAGCCUGACAGAGAAGCAAUUAUUUUAUUGAGUUACAGCUGAUGCAUGAUGGAGCAGCAGAGCAAUCAAUUAAGCUGUCAAAUUAUGUUAAGUGUAUAUAUACUAGAAUAUGCACAAUCACACGAGUCCCAGUACAUCCAAAAAUUGCUUGAGACCAA
Molecule: long non-coding RNA, 701 nt
Organism: Aegilops tauschii subsp. strangulata
Lineage: Eukaryota; Viridiplantae; Streptophyta; Magnoliopsida; Poales; Poaceae
Source: RefSeq, a predicted model, not a curated record